UUAAAUCUUGAGCUUUCAUAAGUAAUCUGUAGCUCGACCUGACUUAUCUUAAUAUUGUGAAACUCCAUGACUUUUCGAGGUCGGGAUCUCUUCUCUUCAUUUGAUUUACCAAUCUUUUUUCCUUCAUGGGAUGAACGACCAGACUUUACAAGCUUGGACUCUUUCGAUUUACUUUUAGAGGAUUCAUAUGGUUGUUCAUUAAAACCAAGUGGGUCGGCUUUUGAAGUAGAAAUACUGGAUGAAUGAACCUGCAAGACAAGUUCGGUAGCAACAGAUUCUGCAAGUGUCUCUUCCCAUGUUCUGUCAAAAGAUGAGGUUCUUCUCAACUCUGGGCCUGAACCAACAAUGAGUUUGGAUGUGACAUCAGAAUCUUUUGUUGCAUGGCUGUAUGAUGAAGAAGCUUCUUGGAUUGAUGAACCUUUCUUUACACGCCUUGCGCCAGCAGUUGUUGAAACUUUCCAAACUUCCUGCCGCCUUUGUGAAUCUUGUUCUUCUUCUGGGAAGAAAUACUCCCACAUCAUCCUGUACAUCGUCUCUGUCAAAUGAAUCUUAAGGGGAUAAAUCUCUACCUGGAAGAGUUCAAUAUGGGAAUUUCCAUCCCUUGGAGCUCCUUGCUUUGCAUCUACACGAAGCAUGACUUUCUUCCCCCAAUCUGGUGGAGGAUUCCACGCUGACAGAACCAUAUCAGACUUGGCAUUUGGCAGGCAGUUUCUCACAACAAAAUAUUUUGUUGUAAAUAGAGCAACACCGACAUCCUUGUAAUCCCGGUCAAAAUCAAAGAUCAUGUCAUUUAUCUCAGCCUCAGCAAAAGAUUUACCAUCUACAAGCAUGUUCCAAACAACUUUGUUGAUUUUCAAAGAUAUACGCAUUGCAUAGGAUGGACUUUUGUUCUUCUCCUUCUCCAUCAGACGUAGCUGGGCAGCUUUCUGCAAAGCCAUCCUUAAUGAUGCAGAUGCUGCCUUCCUAAACCUUUUUGCAUUCACAAGCUCUCUCUUCAGCCCUUGUACCAGAUUGGAUCUUCCACCAGUGAUCAUCCACAAUUCGCCUUCCUUUCUUGAAAGGUCCCCAGAAGUAUCACCAUUAAGAGACAAUCUCCUGAUGUCAUCAAGAAGUAACUUCUGCUCACGUUCUUUCCGUUCAAGUUCGAUUUUAGCAAGUUCAACCUCUUCUACACCAUCAGGCACCAUCUCAUCCGCCUCCUCUUCAACAUCUUCAUCAUCUUCAGCUGGAAAUGACAGACUACUCUUUCUAGGCUUGGGAAGCCGUGCAAAAAGGAGAUUGGUCAACACAUAACCUGAAACUGACGAGAUGUCAUUGUAGCAGUUAUAUUAUCUGUAUUGAAAGUGAGCUCUUUUAGAGGCUUCACCUUCAGGUCUGGAGUCCCGCCUUUGUGCCUUGUG
RNAcentral lists this unclassified non-coding RNA (1400 nucleotides) under Hevea brasiliensis (rubber tree). The record is from RNAcentral. Lineage: Eukaryota; Viridiplantae; Streptophyta; Magnoliopsida; Malpighiales; Euphorbiaceae.